CAGGGAGGCUACCUGGAAAACAGGACCCCAAGAAAGACACGGGGAUCACCCAAUGAUGGAGAAAUGGAUGAGAUCUACAUGAACAGCCUGGACUUGAGUCAGGUUGGUUCUAAAGUUACCAAACUCUCUCAACUUGGAUCCUCAAUCAUCCCAUAAGGCCUGAAAGUCAGCAAGACUGAAGAAGGCCCUAGACAGUUCUACAUCCAAUUUUAGCUCUGGUAAAAGCAGAUGUCUAGCCACCUUACAGAUGGAAUUUGUGGCUCCUUCACUCUCCCCCAUGUAAAGGAGAGAAGUUCCUACCAGACUGCUCUCAGGAGAACAGAUCCCCAGCUCUCCAGAGCUCGAAAUCAAGGACAGAAUGGAUGUGAUGAGAGCGGAGUGGGAAGGGCCAAUCUGUCAGCACGUAAGCCUGGGUCUUUCCGGCUCAGGGCCACGAACCAAACCUUAUAUGGAGGGUGCUGAGGAAAGCAGGACAGAAAGAAAGCCACAGUGUGGACAUCUGCAGCCACCAGGUCUCUUCUCACUGUCCCAGCCGAGUCACCCAUCAGGUACCUUUCAAGUUACUGACCUCCACCUGGGCCAGACGCUGAAUCAAACAAGAGUGCGAUGCUUGUCUCUCUGCCGUGCUUGUGAAGUCUCUGUGAACAAUAAAAUGACUGCAACAGAGAAUAUUUUAUGACUGUUUUCAGGGGCAUUUCUUCAAGAAAAAUUAAUGUCACAUUUAGGUUUGGAAAAAUUCUGUUUAUGCAUUUAUUUUUUAAAAUUAGCACUCUCUGUUGAUGGGUCCUGAAAGCUCCUAAAGCAUUUGCAAGGCUCGUGGCAGUGACCACUCUCAGGAGUAAUGAUAUUCCAUGACUCUGUGCCAGGAGGGUAAAUCACAGAGGAAGUCAUACUGACAGCGUAAGAACUGGAGUCAUUAACUCUGGACCUGCAACCUGUGUCAAAAGGACCUGACUGCAGGGCAGAGCAGCAGAAGCCUUCUCCCUUCUAGGCACUCAUCUCACCUGAGCUCUAAAGAUAGUUCACCCUUUCCUUUGUCAGACGCCGAGAUGCAAGUGUCUCCAGUAUCCAUUGGAAUGACUGCUUAGCACUCUCUUCUCUAAAUAGUGCGCUGACUCAGAAAGCCUUGUGUACAUGGAUAUUUUGAGCCAUACUCUCCCAGUGUGGAAACUCCUUAGGAUUACAUCAGGCUCUGGAGAAAGAAUUAACUUCCAGGCCUGCAGAACAGCAUCAAAUACCUACUUUUAAAUAACAAAUAAAUGAGUGAUGAAAGCAGAUUGUAUACUCUCAUCUUCCAAAAUUUUAUUCCCAACCUAACAGCCAAAAUGGUACUCUUACACAAAGUCAUGUAUUGUUCAAUUCUCCCAGUGCAUUGAUGUUGCUAGGAACAUCACCAGGAAUGCACUUAAAGGCUGUGAGGCACCACUGUUGCCCUUCAGUUUCUUUUUGAUCCCAUUUCCUACCGUCCCUCGCUCCCUCUCACCUCUCUCCUCACCUCACCUUCCUUUGGCCACACUUCCUUCUUCUGGUUCCUCAAACACCUACACAUGGAGCCCUGCCCCAGGACCUCUGCAAUGGCAAAGCCCUCUACUAGGAAUGAUCUUCUCUCAUAUCCAUGUUGCUGGCUUCCUCACCUAAUUUCAUGUCUUAGUUCAAAUAGCUUUUUAAUGAAACUCACUGUGACUUAAAUCACAGUUCACACUCAAUCAUCCUUGCUCAAUUCUUUUUAUCUUCUCCCAAACUUCCAGUUUUCUUUUUUUUUAAUUUUGUAAAAUUCAUUUUACAUACCAAUCACAGAUCUCCCUCUUAUC
Long non-coding RNA from Peromyscus californicus insignis, 1811 nucleotides. RefSeq lists it as uncharacterized. The record is from RefSeq and is a predicted model, not a curated record. The transcript is spliced from 3 exons. NCBI's taxonomy places the organism in Eukaryota, Metazoa, Chordata, Mammalia, Rodentia, Cricetidae.